AUAGUUAAGACUGGCAAGUCUUCUGACUAUCCAAUGGUUGAGAGGCUGUUACGAUUGGUGAUAACUCUUCCGGUUUCAACUGCAACAGCAGAGCGAGCCUUUUCUGCAAUGAAACUAGUCAAGACGCGGCUUCGAAGCAAAAUGGGAGAUGAUUUUCUUUGUCAUUGCACGCUAGUUUACAUUGAGAAGGAACUUGCAGCCAAGUUUAGCUCUGAAGAAAUAAUUGAUAUCUUCGAUACUGGUGCUCGUAAAGCAGAAUUCAAAUUGAUAGAAAUGUAA
RNAcentral lists this ribosomal RNA (279 nucleotides) under Triticum aestivum (bread wheat). RNAcentral describes it as "partial small subunit ribosomal RNA". Lineage: Eukaryota; Viridiplantae; Streptophyta; Magnoliopsida; Poales; Poaceae. The record is from RNAcentral.